CAAGGUAUAGUGCAGUCUGGUCAGCACAUCUGUUUUGGUUAUAGAGAGCCAUAGAUUCGAAUCCUGCCACCUUGA
Ilex paraguariensis (yerba mate) is the source of this 75-nucleotide non-coding RNA. Lineage: Eukaryota; Viridiplantae; Streptophyta; Magnoliopsida; Aquifoliales; Aquifoliaceae. The record is from the annotation of a GenBank genome assembly.